This is a small nucleolar RNA of Lepus europaeus (European hare), 64 nucleotides long. RefSeq annotates it as small nucleolar RNA SNORD43. The transcript has a single exon. The record is from RefSeq and is a predicted model, not a curated record. Lineage: Eukaryota; Metazoa; Chordata; Mammalia; Lagomorpha; Leporidae.
CGCAGAUGAUGAACCCACUGACGGGCGGACAGAGCCCUUGUGCUGAUUGUCAGGUUCUGAUGGG